AAAAAAGUGGCACUGGGUUUCCGUUACUCGCGCCCCGUCGUGUUGCAUGAAUGUAGCAAUACAUUUGAUGGCGACCGGCAAACGGGUGCGGAACACGUACACAACCUUCCUAUAAGUGGGGAAUAGCCCAGAGAAAUUUGGAUUAAUACCCCGUAACAUAACGAUGUGGCAUCACAUUGUUAUUAUAGCUUCGGCGCUUAUUGAUGGGUGUGCGGCUGAUUAGAUAGUUGGCGGGGUAACGGCCCACCAAGUCUACGAUCAGUAGCUGAUGUGAGAGCAUGAUCAGCCACACGGGCACUGAGACACGGGCCCGACUCCUACGGGAGGCAGCAGUAAGGAAUAUUGGUCAAUGGACGCAAGUCUGAACCAGCCAUGCCGCGUGAAGGAUUAAGGUCCUCUGGAUUGUAAACUUCUUUUAUCUGGGACGAAAAAAGGCGAUUCUUCGUCACUUGACGGUACCAGAUGAAUAAGCACCGGCUAACUCCGUGCCAGCAGCCGCGGUAAUACGGAGGGUGCAAGCGUUAUCCGGAUUCACUGGGUUUAAAGGGUGCGUAGGCGGGCAGGUAAGUCAGUGGUGAAAUCCUGGAGCUUAACUCCAGAACUGCCAUUGAUACUAUCUGUCUUGAAUAUUGUGGAGGUAAGCGGAAUAUGUCAUGUAGCGGUGAAAUGCUUAGAUAUGACAUAGAACACCUAUUGCGAAGGCAGCUUACUACGCAUAUAUUGACGCUGAGGCACGAAAGCGUGGGGGAUCAAUUCAGGAUUAGAUACCCUG
RNAcentral lists this ribosomal RNA (772 nucleotides) under uncultured bacterium. RNAcentral describes it as "bacterial SSU rRNA". It matches the Rfam family "Bacterial small subunit ribosomal RNA", at positions 29 to 789 of the family's 1533-position model. The record is from RNAcentral.